Molecule: ribosomal RNA, 108 nt
Organism: Prolemur simus (greater bamboo lemur)
Lineage: Eukaryota; Metazoa; Chordata; Mammalia; Primates; Lemuridae
Source: Ensembl
GCCUACAGCCAUUCCACCCCGAAAGCGCCUGAUCUCGUCUGAUCUCCGAAGCCAAGCAGGGCUGGGCACGGUUAGUACUUGGAUGGGAGAAAACAGAAAUAUUAGUCU